AACAGGUGAAGCUGCCACAUGAUCUGAUCUUUCCUUCAUGAGACCAGGGAAGUUGAGAUCACGCUGGCAGCUUCAACUGAU
RNAcentral lists this microRNA precursor (81 nucleotides) under Eugenia uniflora (Surinam cherry). RNAcentral's name for it is "miR167d stem-loop (eun-MIR167d)". Its record names the gene eun-MIR167d. The record is from miRBase by way of RNAcentral. Lineage: Eukaryota; Viridiplantae; Streptophyta; Magnoliopsida; Myrtales; Myrtaceae.